CAUUAUUAGGCACUUGAUAUUCAGAUGAUAUUUUCCAAGCACAUAUAUAUAUAUGCCCUUUUGGAAAAAUGGCUCUUAACCAAAAAUAAAAAUUUUGCUUUUUGGUCAAAAAAGGUUCCUGACCCCUGUUCCAGAAUCUGGCAGUAAGUUUGGGGAGCACAUUUUUAUUCCAUCUUCUAUUCUGAAAAGUCUUAAUUCUUAAUUCUUUUGCAGUAAACUUGUGUCUUUUCUCCACCUUUUUUUUUUUUUUUUCAAACUCCACUGUCCCAGUCAGCAUUUUUUUGUCCAAUGGUCAUGUCGAAAUUUUGCAAUUUCUAUAUUGCAAUAGUUUUGAAUAAUUCUCAUGGGGAUUUAAUAAUUUUUGACUUUUCAGUCCGAGUUAAAACUCUUUUUUUGGCUCAUUUCAUCUGUAAAAAAAGCCUAAUAAUUCUGCACACCUGAAUAUAAGGAGUUUUUCUCUUCCAGCCUUCAUGGACAAUAUAUCACUCAUAAAUGAUUAAAUACAAAAUUAAUGGUAGUUAUUAAGAUUGAUGUCAUUGGGAAUUGGUAAAAUGUGCUUGGAAAAAAAAAAAUCAGAAUAUCAACAUGCCUAAUAAUUGUGCACACAGUGUAAAUCAAUAAAGGUUUUAGUAACACUUUAUAAUAAGGUCUAAUUUGUAAACAUUAGUAAAUGAACAUGAAAAAUAUAUUUUCACAGAAUUUAUUAAUGUUUGUUGAUUUUAGUUCACAGUGCAUUAACUAAUGUUAACAGAUAUUUUUUUUUUUAAGUUUUGACUAUUAACUGACAUUGACAUGCAAUAUAAUUAUUGUUCAUGUUAGUUAAUCUUAAUAACUGAAACCUUAUAAAAAAGUGUUACUAAAGUAUUGUGUAUUGUUCUCUGUGUGUGUCUUUCAUAGUCUUGAUGGUUUGGAUUAACCCUUUAAUUGCCGAAUCCUUAAAACCAGACUGCCAUAGAGUUACUGUAAAUGCAUGUGCCCGCUGGGCACAGUUUUCCUGAUGCCACCGGGGCGGCGUUUGCACUGAUGGCUUGAGCCCGCCAUCGCUGCUUGCAGCUAUAUUUAGGGCUCAAGCCUGGAGGGCGAGAGCCCUAUUGUUUUCCUUAGGAUUAUUUUUUAUUAUUAUUAGGGCUCAAGCCUGGAGGGCGA
Cyprinus carpio carpio is the source of this 1146-nucleotide long non-coding RNA. The record is from Ensembl. NCBI's taxonomy places the organism in Eukaryota, Metazoa, Chordata, Actinopteri, Cypriniformes, Cyprinidae.